Long non-coding RNA from Sarcophilus harrisii (Tasmanian devil), 531 nucleotides. RefSeq lists it as uncharacterized. The record is from RefSeq and is a predicted model, not a curated record. The transcript is spliced from 3 exons. NCBI's taxonomy places the organism in Eukaryota, Metazoa, Chordata, Mammalia, Dasyuromorphia, Dasyuridae.
GAGAUGGGACCAUUUUUAUCAAACAGAAUCAAGCUUUCUUCAAAUCUUGCAACUUUAAGGAGACUCCCAAUGGAACUCUAUCUACUUGAACUAGCUCAAAUAUCUUCCUAAUCAAGCUUUCUUUUUUUUGUAAACGAAGGAUUCUUCAUGGACUUCAAAAGCUUUCAGCUCUCAAUCAGUUCCUUAAUGGGGAGAACGAGGGAAGAAAGGAUUGUCUAAAGUGAUCUAUGUGAAUGAACAGCUCAUUCUUCAACUUGGAUGUUGGAAUGACAGCAGAAAGAUUCUUGGAUUGGAAAACACUGAACAAAAUGGGUAAUAAGGAGCUGAAACCUAUGAUUCCCAGCAAAGAAAGAAAUCAAGCAGAAGCAACUGGAUGAACUGGGAAGAUUUCAUAAUCUACUUGUGGACCCUGAUGAAUUCCUUGUGGCCUCUUCUUACAGAGAAGGGGUUCUUGACCUCCUUUGUGUCAUGGGGACCUUCGACCACCUGGUGAAACCUGAAAACCUUCCCUCAGAAUCAUGUUUUUAAAUG